This 262-nucleotide long non-coding RNA is filed under the name Glycine max (soybean). RNAcentral's name for it is "long non-coding RNA (GMAX_LNC001069)". Lineage: Eukaryota; Viridiplantae; Streptophyta; Magnoliopsida; Fabales; Fabaceae. The record is from RNAcentral.
AAAUUGGUGAAGCAAUGUUAUGAAGAAGCCAAUCUUAAUUAUCAACCUUGGAGGGGUUUGCAUUUUAGUACAUUGUGAUAUACUGAUAUUGAUUCUUUGGUGCUAUUAAUUGUACUCUCUACCCAAUAUGACAUAGCAUGCUUCUCACCAAUUUGGUAACUCUGGAUUCUGCCAAGGUUCGUCAGACUUACUUUAAUGGGCUUAUGUGGAUCAAAUUUGCAAAAUGAGUAAUGUUAGUCUCAUUUGCACAUAAUUUGCAACU